GUGAACCCCGAACCAGGAAGGAUACCCCCUGAACUUAA
This 38-nucleotide ribosomal RNA is filed under the name Sphaerellopsis filum. RNAcentral describes it as "partial 28S ribosomal RNA". The record is from RNAcentral. Lineage: Eukaryota; Fungi; Ascomycota; Dothideomycetes; Pleosporales; Leptosphaeriaceae.